This 552-nucleotide ribosomal RNA is filed under the name uncultured bacterium. RNAcentral describes it as "partial 16S ribosomal RNA". It matches the Rfam family "Bacterial small subunit ribosomal RNA", at positions 355 to 900 of the family's 1533-position model. The record is from RNAcentral.
UGGGGAAUUUUGGACAAUGGGCGCAAGCCUGAUCCAGCCAUGCCGCGUGCGGGAAGAAGGCCUUCGGGUUGUAAACCGCUUUGUCAGGGAAGAAAUCUUCUGAGUUAAUAGCCUCGGGAGGAUGACGGUACCUGAAGAAUAAGCACCGGCUAACUACGUGCCAGCAGCCGCGGUAAUACGUGGGGUGCAAGCGUUAAUCGGAAUUACUGGGCGUAAAGCGUGCGCAGGCGGUUUUGUAAGACAGAGGUGAAAUCCCCGGGCUCAACCUGGGAACUGCCUUUGUGACUGCAAGGCUUGGGUGCGGCAGAGGGGGAUGGAACUCCGCGUGUAGCAGUGAAAUGCGUAGAUAUGCGGAGGAACACCGAUGGCGAAGGCAAUCCCCUGGGCCUGCACUGACGCUCAUGCACAAAGCGUGGGGAGCAAACAGGAUUAGAUACCCUGGUAGUCCACGCCCUAAAACGAUGUCAACUGGUUGUUGGGAAGGUUCCUUCUCAGUAACGUAGCUAACGCGGUGAAGUUGACCGCUGGGGAGUACGGCCGCAAGGUUGAAAC